This 212-nucleotide ribosomal RNA is filed under the name Pseudoalteromonas luteoviolacea. RNAcentral's name for it is "partial 23S ribosomal RNA". It matches the Rfam family "Bacterial large subunit ribosomal RNA", at positions 2105 to 2316 of the family's 2925-position model. The record is from RNAcentral. Lineage: Bacteria; Pseudomonadati; Pseudomonadota; Gammaproteobacteria; Alteromonadales; Pseudoalteromonadaceae.
UACAGCUUGGCACUGAACAUUGACCCUACAUGUGUAGGAUAGGUGGGAGGCUUUGAAGCACAGUCGCUAGAUUGUGUGGAGCCGACCUUGAAAUACCACCCUUGUAGUGUUGAUGUUCUAACUUAGGUCCCUAAUCGGGAUUGAGGACAGUGCCUGGUGGGUAGUUUGACUGGGGCGGUCUCCUCCCAAAGAGUAACGGAGGAGCACGAAGG